This 536-nucleotide long non-coding RNA is filed under the name Pan troglodytes (chimpanzee). Its description in RNAcentral is "lincRNA". Lineage: Eukaryota; Metazoa; Chordata; Mammalia; Primates; Hominidae. The record is from RNAcentral.
GAAUGAUUGGGAACCAAUGAAUAGUUGUUCAGUAAAUGGUUUAUAUUUUACAGAUGAUGAAACUGAAACACAAAAAAUUUAGAUUAACUCUUAGGUGACAAAGGCCAGGAUUGAAGCUCAUGCGGUCUGGCUCCAGAACAACUCUUCUUCAUAGUUACGUUAUACUGCCCCUGCAUUGUUGGUAUUGAAAAUAACUGAUACCGUGCUUCCAGAAGAUUUUUCUAACAGUGUUUGCAGGCUAUAAAAUAGUGCUUUCACUUGGAAAAGGCUAGACGUGGUGGUUCAUGCCUGUAAUCCCAGCACUUUGAGAGGCCGAGGCACCAUGCCGGGAGAUAAGGAUCCAACAUAAGACAAACAGUGCUGAUGCUUUUGGAAAGCUCAUAUUCAAGCUGGGGAGACAAACAACAUACAAGUUGCUGUAGCUACCUUCUGCAUAUGGAUAUCCAGUUUUCCCAGCACCACUUAUUAAAGAGACUGUCUUUUCUGCAGUGUAUAUUCUUGGCACCGUUGUUGAAAAUGAAUUCAUUGUAGGUGUG